GGGCGCGCCACGGGAGAGUGCGGGGCCUGCAAUGGCUUCGCCGCCGAAGGAGCAACCGCCCCGGAAUCUCUCAGGCCAAAGGACCGCGGCGCGAAU
Molecule: non-coding RNA, 96 nt
Filed under: Paraurantiacibacter namhicola
Lineage: Bacteria; Pseudomonadati; Pseudomonadota; Alphaproteobacteria; Sphingomonadales; Erythrobacteraceae
Description: Altererythrobacter namhicola Glycine sequence
Rfam family: Glycine riboswitch aptamer
About the family: This family represents the bacterial glycine riboswitch. Glycine riboswitches usually consist of two metabolite-binding aptamers domains with similar structures in tandem. The aptamers cooperatively bind glycine to regulate the expression of downstream genes.
Source: Rfam by way of RNAcentral